RNAcentral lists this ribosomal RNA (115 nucleotides) under Lepisosteus oculatus (spotted gar). The record is from RNAcentral. Lineage: Eukaryota; Metazoa; Chordata; Actinopteri; Semionotiformes; Lepisosteidae.
UCCAGCAGCAGUAUCACCCUGCAUCUCACAACUGGAAGUCCACUGAAGCUAAGCAGAUGAGCCUGGUCAGUACCUGGAUGGAAGACCUACUGGGAAAAAAAGGUUGCUGUUGGAA